Molecule: ribosomal RNA, 301 nt
Filed under: uncultured bacterium
Lineage: Bacteria
Description: partial 16S ribosomal RNA
Rfam family: Bacterial small subunit ribosomal RNA
Source: RNAcentral
CAGCAGCCGCGGGAAUACGUAGGUCCCGAGCGUUAUCCGGAUUUAUUGGGCGUAAAGCGAGCGCAGGCGGUUAGAUAAGUCUGAAGUUAAAGGCUGUGGCUUAACCAUAGUACGCUUUGGAAACUGUUUAACUUGAGUGCAGAAGGGGAGAGUGGAAUUCCAUGUGUAGCGGUGAAAUGCGUAGAUAUAUGGAGGAACACCGGUGGCGAAAGCGGCUCUCUGGUCUGUAACUGACGCUGAGGCUCGAAAGCGUGGGGAGCAAACAGGAUUAGAUACCCCCGUAGUCCCUGUCUCUUAUACA